Molecule: ribosomal RNA, 457 nt
Filed under: uncultured Pseudomonas sp.
Lineage: Bacteria; Pseudomonadati; Pseudomonadota; Gammaproteobacteria; Pseudomonadales; Pseudomonadaceae
Description: bacterial SSU rRNA
Rfam family: Bacterial small subunit ribosomal RNA
Source: RNAcentral
ACAAGCGGUGGAGCAUGUGGUUAAUUCGAAGCAACGCGAAGAACCUUACCAGGCCUUGACAUGCAGAGAACUUUCCAGAGAUGGAUUGGUGCCUUCGGGAACUCUGACACAGGUGCUGCAUGGCUGUCGUCAGCUCGUGUCGUGAGAUGUUGGGUUAAGUCCCGUAACGAGCGCAACCCUUGUCCUUAGUUACCAGCACGUUAUGGUGGGCACUCUAAGGAGACUGCCGGUGACAAACCGGAGGAAGGUGGGGAUGACAUCAAGUCAUCAUGGCCCUUACGGCCUGGGCUACACACGUGCUACAAUGGUCGGUACAAAGGGUUGCCAAGCCGCGAGGUGGAGCUAAUCCCAUAAAACCGAUCGUAGUCCGGAUCGCAGUCUGCAACUCGACUGCGUGAAGUCGGAAUCGCUAGUAAUCGUGAAUCAGAAUGUCACGGUGAAUACGUUCCCGGGCCUU